This 449-nucleotide long non-coding RNA is filed under the name Salvator merianae (Argentine black and white tegu). Its description in RNAcentral is "lncRNA (ENSSMRG00000005066.1)". Lineage: Eukaryota; Metazoa; Chordata; Lepidosauria; Squamata; Teiidae. The record is from RNAcentral.
GUUGAUAAAGAAUUUUAAAAGUAAUUUUUAAAAGCUACUUUAAUGUUUCUGAGUUACAUUUCCUUUCCUUCUUAUUUUUGGCAGUCUAUUGUAUAUUGAGAGAACCUUGACUGUGCCUGCUACAGCAACAAUUUGCAGAAUGGAUCUUUAUUGAGCUCUAAUAAGGACACUACUCCGGAAGUUCUGCAUUAAGAUGAUGAAAGUUGUGGUCCUGCUUCUCUUUGCCAUAUUGCUUUCUGCCAAGCAUGCCAGUGCUCAGUCAUGUUGCGGCAUUGAUAAUCUGAUUGACCAGAAGAUCCAGGCAGCGGUUAAAGCUGCAGUGUCUGCUGCCACCUCAAAGGCCCAGCUGUUUUGCCUAAACGUAUCAUCAAGAGGAGCAGAUGUCUCCUGCCCUUCAGGUGAGAUGUCCAGGUGAAGUGCUGGGGUUGGGAGGAAAUCAGAUGUUGGGG